RNAcentral lists this ribosomal RNA (266 nucleotides) under uncultured bacterium. Its description in RNAcentral is "partial 16S ribosomal RNA". It matches the Rfam family "Bacterial small subunit ribosomal RNA", at positions 57 to 305 of the family's 1533-position model. The record is from RNAcentral.
GCAAGUGGAACGCAUGCUUGAUACCGGAGCUUGCUCCACCAUUAAUCAUGAGUCGCGAACGGGUGAGUAACGCUUAGUUAACCUACCUCAUAGCGGGGGAUAACUAUUGGAAACGAUAGCUAAUACCGCAUAACAGUAUUUAUCGCAUGGUAAAUGCUUGAAAGGAGCAACUGCUUCAGUAUGAGAUGGACCUGCGUAGUAUUAGCUAGUUGGUGGGGUAACGGCUCACCAAGGCAUCGAUACAUAGCCGACCUGAGAGGGUGGUC